CAAGCGCAUGCGUACCGUCUUUGCGGCUUCCUUACAUUGCGGUGCUGGAGCCUUGCCAGUCUGCAGUGGCAGAGCAGCUAUUGUCGCCAAAGUGCGAGGUUUCUUUCUCAGGUUUUGAACAAGGGGAAUUAGAUUUUGUCAGGGGAGAGGGUACCCAAUUUCCGCACUAUGUCUGGUGAGUCAGACCAUCAUCAGGCUGCUCCCUCACAUACUGGGUUAGGCCAGCCAAAUCCUGAGAGAGAACGGGCUGGAAUCCUGGGAGGGGUGAUUCCAAGGGCUGGCGCCUAGAGCCUAGGUCCUGUAUCCAAAAAAUUCUUGACAGAGUUAUGGACUCCCCUCGCCAGUGGGUCACCCUCUCGGAGGUGGUGCCUAACGCUGUGUGAGCCAUCCAAAGAUAACUCUUAGAGGAUGAGCCACCAGACACGGUGCCCAGGCUUCCCCUUUACUGAUAUGAUGUGAGCAUCUCAGACGGGGUGUAUAAAAGUGCUACCUGGAACCCAGCUUGAACUCUCUCAUACAUAAAAAUAUUCUUAAAAUUGGCAUAGAAGUGAAUUUCUAGAGUAUCGUAUCUCCACAAUGAGAGAAGUUUAGGCCAAGGGAUCUUGUGCAUAGAUAGCAUCCUCUGUGGGGAAACAUUGGACUUGAUCUCUUUAGAAACUCCCUUCAGAAAUAGAGCGCGCCAAGAGAAACCAGAGGCCUUUAAGGGGCAGGAGAGCUCGUUACCUGGAACUGUGGAAUAACGAAGAUGUAUAUAGAUAUCUGACUGAACAUCAGGCAACCUGAGGAACACAAUUUUAACAAAAUCUGCCUGAACUUUCAGGAUCCUCAAACUAAUGUAGUUAUCAUCCCAGAAAAGGAGGUAAAACCAGACUGGAAAUUGCCAGAAUUAAAUCACCAAUUUGUCACAAGGCCGACAUUCCAACAAGUGGCGCCCAACGUUGGGCCCGAAGAAGUGAGUGAAUAUUCCAUAAUCAUAUCAGGAACCAGCAGAAAAGACCUUGUCAAAGGUCAAGUGAGACAGCCAAAGCAGAGCGACUUGAGUCAUCAAGGUUAAGUAAGUAAAUAACAUUUCCGUGAAGUCAUCAGGUAUGAGUAAUCAACCAGGACAUCUGGAAGAACAUUCCAAAGUGUUAAAAAACUUUAUUAAAUACUACAGGGGUGCCAGUUAGAACAGGUGAUUUGUUAGAACUCUUUGCUUUAGUUCAAAAACAUUGUUAUUGGUUUCAACCUCAAGAUAAAAAACUUUUAAAUUUGAAACAGUGGAAACAAGUAAUGAAGGCUUUACGAAGAGCAUAUCAAAAAGGAGAA
Molecule: long non-coding RNA, 1308 nt
Filed under: Dasypus novemcinctus (nine-banded armadillo)
Lineage: Eukaryota; Metazoa; Chordata; Mammalia; Cingulata; Dasypodidae
Description: lncRNA (ENSDNOG00000050938.1)
Source: RNAcentral